This 475-nucleotide ribosomal RNA is filed under the name Hua sp. 2 LD-2019. RNAcentral's name for it is "partial large subunit ribosomal RNA". It matches the Rfam family "Bacterial large subunit ribosomal RNA", at positions 1809 to 2559 of the family's 2925-position model. Lineage: Eukaryota; Metazoa; Mollusca; Gastropoda; Semisulcospiridae. The record is from RNAcentral.
AAAAACAUGGCUCUCUGCUUAUAUAAAUAUAGGGAGUCGAGCCUGCCCAGUGAAUUUUUUAACGGCCGCGGUACUCUGACCGUGCAAAGGUAGCAUAAUCAUUUGCCUUAUAAUUGAAGGCUAGUAUGAAUGGUUUGACGAGAGCAACGCUGUCUCUUUUUUAUUUCCAAGAACUUAACUUUUAGGUGAAGAGGCCUAAAUUUUAUUGAAGGACAAGAAGACCCUGUCGAGCUUAAAAGACAUUAUAGAAGUCUAUAUAUAUUUUAAAUAAAUUUUCUAUUAAGCUUUUUAGUUGGGGCGACUAAGGAACAAAAAAAGCUUCUUGUUAACGAUAAACAAUCAUGUUUAGAUCCGAUAAUAAUCGAUCGGGGGAAUUAGUUACCGCAGGGAUAACAGCAUAAUCUCUCUUGAGAGACCUAAUCGAAAGAGGGGGUUGUGACCUCGAUGUUGGACUAGAAUAUCCUAAAGGUGCAGA